Molecule: unclassified non-coding RNA, 6229 nt
Filed under: Homalodisca vitripennis (glassy-winged sharpshooter)
Lineage: Eukaryota; Metazoa; Arthropoda; Insecta; Hemiptera; Cicadellidae
Description: down syndrome cell adhesion molecule-like protein Dscam2, transcript variant X45
Source: RNAcentral
CUGCAUUCGCUGCCUCCCAUUUAUCAAUACAGCUUCUGCUGUUGUGUGGUAAGGGUGUUUCGAUCUUCGUGCCGGUGUGUAUUUUGUGUCAUAGUGAUUUUCUGACUUUCUACUUCUAUCGUAGGGGGCUUCCGGGUCCGAAAUUUCGUCGCGCGAGCCGCCGCGAGUGAAGUGAGUGCUCUUGUUGUUCUAUAGCGCCUCCGUGUAUGUGAGUGUUCAUAGACAAAGUGUCACUAUGAAGCGCUCUACUGUGCUUCUUUUUCUUCUGCUCUCCGUUUCCAUGGGGAGUUGCGAGGACGACACGAUGGGUCCUAUAUUUAUCAAAGAGCCCCAAAACCGGGUAGACUUCAGCAACACGACGGGAGCGACAGUGGAGUGCUCGGCCCGGGGCAACCCUCCGCCCGAGAUCAUAUGGGUGAGGGCCGACGGCACGGCAGUGGGAGACGUACCCGGUCUCAGACAGGUGUUGGCGAAUGGUAACUUAGUGUUUCCACCAUUCAGAGCAGAAGACUACCGGCAAGAGGUUCAUGCACAAGUGUAUGUCUGUCUCGCACGAAACUCUGUUGGCUCUAUACAUUCUCGCGAUGUCAACGUCCGAGCAGUGGUAAACCAGAAGUAUGAGGCAGAGAUUAUGACAGAGUACGUCAUUCGUGGCAACACAGCAGUUUUGAAGUGCAGCAUUCCCUCGUUUGUGGCAGACUUUGUUCAAGUGGAGUCCUGGCUUUCAGAAGAUGGAAUGGUGUUUCAUGCUCCUACACGAACUGACAGGCAGGAGAUUUAUGAUGGCAAAUAUUUGGUACUACCAUCUGGAGAGUUACACAUCCGAGAUGUCGGACCAGAAGACGGUUACAAGUCGUACCAAUGCCGAACCAAACACCGACUGACAGGAGAGACACGACUUAGUGCGACCAAAGGCAGGCUAGUCAUCACUGAACCUGUCGGAGCAAAAGGCCCAACUUUUACUUCUGACGAUCUUCGUUUCUUCAGAAUAUCCCGAAAAAUCAAGCAAAGUUUCAGUCUCCUGUGUCAAGCCCAGGCGUUCCCUGUCCCCAUGUUUAGGUGGUACAAAUUUAUUGAUGGCACAACACGAAAGCAAGCAGUUCAGAUGGAUGACAGAGUGAAACAAGUGUCAGGGACUCUCAUCAUUAGAGAAGCCAAGGUGGAGGACUCUGGCAAGUACUUAUGUGUUGUAAACAACUCAGUGGGUGGAGAGAGUGUCGAGACUGUACUUACUGUUACUGCACCCUUAUCAGCAACAGUGGAACCAACAACACAGACAGUGGACUUUGGACGGCCGGCCGUACUUACAUGCAACUAUGAGGGCAAUCCAGUAAAGACCAUCUCAUGGCUCAAGGAUGGCAAGACAGUGGCUGGUCACGAGGAGCCUGUGUUGCGGAUAGACUCUGUACGCAAAGAAGACAAGGGCAUGUACCAGUGUGUGAUACGUAACGAGCAGGAGAGCGCACAGGCCAGUGCAGAACUCAAGCUAGGCGGUCGAUUCGAACCUCCACAGAUAAAACAUGCCUUCAACGAAGAGACGAUGCAGCCUGGACCAUCUGUGUUCCUAAAGUGUAUAGCAACUGGAAACCCCUCUCCUGAGAUAACAUGGGAACUGGAUUCCAAGAAACUGUCCAACACUGAGAGGUUGCAGGUAGGACAGUACGUAACAGUGAACGGGGACGUGGUUUCGCACCUAAACAUUUCAUCUGUACACACCAAUGACGGCGGGUUGUACAAAUGUGUGGCCACCAGCAAGGUGGGAUCUGCUGAGCAUGCGGCCAAGCUAAACGUGUACGGACUGCCAUUUGUGCGGCCGAUGGAGAAGAAGGCGAUAGUUGCAGGAGAGACACUGGUUGUUACUUGUCCCGUCGCUGGGUACCCUAUCGAGAGCAUCGUGUGGGAGAGAGAUCAGAGACAGUUGCCGAUCAACAGAAAGCAGAAGGUUUUCCCCAACGGAACUCUGAUCAUAGAGAAUGUUGAGAGACUGAGUGAUCAGGCCACUUACACCUGUGUCGCUCGUAACGCUCAGGGCUACAGUGUCAGAGGCACAUUAGAGGUUCAAGUCAUGGUCCCGCCCCAGUUGACCCCGUUCCCUGUGGUGCCAGUGAUGGUGGGGGAUGCAGCUCAGCUAUCCUGUCUAGCUUCUCGUGGGGAUACUCCCCUGAACUUGUCCUGGUCGUACAUAGCCCCAAGGGGCCAAUCUCCAAAGCCCCCUCCAGGGCUCACUGUAGUCCCAGUCUCUCCUGUCAACAGUCUGCUGCUCAUCUCUAGCAUCUCGGAGAUACAUCGUGGAAUGUACAGAUGUGAUGCCUCAAAUCUUGCAGGCCACGACAGUCACCUCAUGGAGUUGAUCGUCAACGUGCCACCAAGGUGGAUCCUGGAACCCACAGAUAAAGCUUUUGCUCAAGGCAGUGAUGCCAAGGUGGAGUGCAAAGCUGACGGAUUCCCUAAGCCCUCAGUUACAUGGAAAAGGGCUUCAGGGGAUUCUCCUGGUGAUUACAAAGAUCUAAAGCCUAACAAUCCAGAUAUUCGCGUAGAAGACGGAACACUGCUGAUUAAUAAUAUCCAGAAGACGAAUGAAGGAUACUAUUUGUGCGAAGCAGUCAAUGGAAUCGGUUCUGGCCUAUCAGCUGUUAUCAUGAUCAGUGUUCAAGCUCCGCCCCAGUUUGAGAUCAAGUUGCGUAAUCAGACUGCGCGGGUGGGUGAGCCAACAGUACUCCAGUGCGAAGCCAAGGGAGAGAAGCCCAUUGGCAUUUUAUGGAACAUGGACAACAAGCGACUCGAUCCCAAGAGUGACAUCUCCAACAGAUAUACAAUUCGUGAAGAAAUUCUGCCAAAUGGAGUGCUGUCAGAUUUGAGCAUCAAGAGUACUGAACGCACGGAUUCUGCUCUCUUUACAUGUGUGGCAACAAACGCAUUCGGCAGUGAUGACACCAGCAUCAACAUGAUUGUGCAAGAGGUUCCAGAGGCACCUUACGGUUUGAAGGUUCUUGAUAAAUCUGGUCGCUCUGUACAACUGUCAUGGAAUGCUCCUUAUGACGGCAAAUCUCCAAUCAAGAAAUAUUUGAUCCAACAUAAGAUCUCAAAAGGUACGUGGCAGGCAGACCAGGACACUGUGCUGGUACCAGGAUCCAAUACUGUGGCCGGAGUAUUCAAUCUGCGACCUGCCACUACCUACCACCUCAGGAUAGUCGCAGAAAACGAGAUUGGAGAGUCAGACCCCUCAGACACUGUCACCAUCAUCACUGCAGAGGAGGCUCCCAGUGGUCCUCCAACUGGAGUCAAGGUAGAGGCCAUGGACCAGAACACCCUGCGAGUAACAUGGAAGCCACCAGAGAGGGAAGAGUGGAACGGAGAAAUCCAAGGUUACUAUGUCGGCUACAAACUCACCUCCUCAGACAAGCCCUACCUGUUCGAGACUGUAGAAUUCAGCAAGGAGGAAGGCAAGGAACAUCAUCUCCAGAUCGGCAACCUCAAGACCUACACUCAGUACAGCGUGGUGGUGCAAGCCUUUAACAAGUUGGGGGCUGGUCCUAUGUCAGAUGAGGCGAGGCAGUACACUGCUGAAGGUAUACCAGAGCAACCACCACAGGACACUACCUGCACCACCCUGACCUCACAGACUAUCCGAGUGUCAUGGGUAUCCCCACCUCUAACUGCGGCUAAUGGCGUCAUCAAGGGGUACAAGGUUGUCUAUGGACCCAGUGAAACUUGGUAUGACGAAAACACAAAGGACACAAAGAUCACAUCCUCCAGUGAAACAAUACUACAUGGCCUGAAGAAGUACACAAACUACAGCAUGCAGGUUCUGGCUUUCACAUCAGGGGGAGAUGGUGUGAGAAGCACCCCUAUUCACUGCCAGACUGAACAAGAUGUUCCUGAGCCUCCAUCAGCUGUAAAAGCUCUUGUGAUGACUGGUGAGUCCAUCCUCGUCAGCUGGAAACCUCCAACUCAACCCAAUGGUGUUGUUGUCCAGUAUACUGUCUAUGUCAAAGAGGAGAGUGAAGAAGCCAAGGAUGAGGAACCAAAGAGCACUAAAGUACCACCAUUCCAAAUGAGUUACGAAGCUACAGGACUGAAGAAGAAGGCUCGUUAUGAAUUCUGGGUAACUGCAUCAACAAACAUUGGAGAAGGCCAGCCUUCAAAGCCUGUGCAGCUUGCUCCUAGUAACAGAGUUCCUGCCAAGAUUGCCUCAUUCGAUGAUAAGUUCACUGCUACCUACCGAGAAGAUGUCAAGUUGCCUUGUCUUGCAGUUGGAGUUCCUGCACCUGAAGUUAAAUGGAAGGUGAAGGGAACCCUUUUUACAUCAGAAUCAAGUGACAGGAUGCGUCAACUGCCCGAAGGCUCUCUGCUAAUAAAGGCUGUUACUAGAACAGAUGCUGGUGAAUACUCCUGCUCAGUAGAGAACUCUUUUGGCCAGGACUCAGUGACCCAUCAACUUGUUGUGCUUGCACCGCCACAUAUGCCACAAGUGACACUGACAGCAACAACUACCAACUCGAUAACAAUGAAGCUGAAGCCCCAUCCUGGAGACAAUGAACCCAUCCAUGGCUACACUGUGAAGUACAAGCCAGAGUUUGGAGACUGGGAGACAGCUCAGGUGUCGGCCACUGCUCAGAAGUACACACUGGAGAACUUAUGGUGUGGCUCCCGUUACCAGAUAUCCGUCACUGCCUAUAACAGUAUUGGAACAGGCGAUGAAUCAGAUGUACUUAACACCAGAACCAAGGGCUCCAAACCUAUAAUCCCUGAGGCCAGUCGGUUCAUUGAAGUGUCAACCAACUCUAUCACCCUACACCUCAGCGCCUGGUCCGAUGGAGGCUGUCCCAUGCUGUACUUCGUUGUCGAGCACAAGAAAAAGUCACAGGUCGAGUGGAACCAAGUGUCCAACAAUGUGAAGCCCGGAGGCAACUUUGUGGUUCUGGAUCUGGAUCCGGCCAACUGGUACCACCUGAGGGUCACAGCCCAUAACAACGCUGGCUUUGCUGUUGCAGAAUAUGAAUUCGCCACACUCACCAUCACCGGAGGCACUAUUGCUCCACCGAUCCGUGGCGGGAUCCCCACGGUGCACCAGUUCUUCCCCUGGAUUCCCGGCUGGGUAGACUUGAACGUGGUAGUCCCUGUGGGGGCCACUAUAGUAGUGCUGCUCGUCGGCAUCACAGUGAUCUGCGUUGCGUUCGCUCGGCGCUCGCGCGGCCCUGAGCAGACCCGCCUGCGAGGUGACAUAUAUGAUAUUGUCUACAAUCAGUCAAUGGUUGGUGGAAAUACGAUCGAUAAGCGACGCCCUGAUCUGCGUGAUGAAUUAGGCUACAUUGCACCACCUAACCGCAAACUACCCCCUGUACCCGGCUCCAACUACAACACUUGCGACAGGAUCAAGAGAGGUCACAAUGGCUCGUACAGAGGACACACGACCUGGGAUCCUCGCCGUCACAUGUAUGAGGAGUUGCGUGUUCACGGUCCCAGGGGGAGGCUUCCCCCUUGCCCUGGGUCCGAUGAAACCCUCUACCAUCGCGCAGGUAUGGAGGAUGAGAUCUGCCCGUACGCCACAUUCCACCUGCUCGGGUUCCGCGAGGAGAUGGAUCCGUCCAAGGCGGUUCAGUUCCAGACUUUCCCUCACCAGAACGGCCACUCUGGCACUCUCGGGCCUAAUGGCGUGCCGGCAAAUGGUCAUGUGCACCACCGCAGCGGAUCUCAAUCAAUGCCAAGGGCGAAUGGACGAUACUCACGAGUGGGAGGCCCGAACUCGACAUUCUCUCCUGAGUAUGAUGACCCCGCCAACUGUAACCCAGAGGAGGAUCCCUACGGCAGCCAGUACUCUCCUUAUGGGGCUCCUUAUGAUCACUACGGCAGCCGCAACUCUGUCAGCAGGCGCAGCGUAGGUUCGGCCCGCAAUCUGCCCCUGUCUGGGAGCCCUGAACCUCCACCACCACCACCUCGCAACCACGACCCCAACAACUCUGCCAACGAUUCCAAAGAUAGCAAUGAGAUCUCCGAGGCCGAGUGUGACCGAGACCAACUCGUCAACCGCAACUAUGGAGGAAUGCUGAGGGCUCCCAGAUACACAGGGGUUAUAGUUUGACCAGUCAAUGUGAGGGCCAACUCCAAGGACAUGACCACAGAAGAGAUGAGGAAACUGAUUGAGAGAAACGAAGCAAGCCACCAACAACUCCAAAACGGAGGGCUCACAACCUACGAUACUGUGGCAGUGUAACCUCUAGUUUGACAA